CACGUAGGGUACGAGCGUUGUCCGGAUUCAUUGGGCGUAAAGCGCGCGUAGGCGGCCCGGAAAGUCGGAUGUGAAAACCUGGGGCUCAACCCCAGGCGUGCACCCGAUACUCCCGGGCUGGAGGCAGGUAGGGGAGAUCGGAAUUCCUGGUGUAGCGGUGAAAUGCGCAGAUAUCAGGAGGAACACCGGUGGCGAAGGCGGAUCUCUGGGCCGUGCCUGACGCUGAGGCGCGAAAGCUAGGGGAGCGAACAGG
Molecule: ribosomal RNA, 253 nt
Filed under: uncultured bacterium
Lineage: Bacteria
Description: partial 16S ribosomal RNA
Rfam family: Bacterial small subunit ribosomal RNA
Source: RNAcentral